RNAcentral lists this ribosomal RNA (482 nucleotides) under uncultured bacterium. RNAcentral's name for it is "partial 16S ribosomal RNA". It matches the Rfam family "Bacterial small subunit ribosomal RNA", at positions 28 to 507 of the family's 1533-position model. The record is from RNAcentral.
GAUGAACGCUGGCGGCGUGCCUAAUACAUGCAAGUCGAACGCUUCACUUCGGUGAAGAGUGGCGAACGGGUGAGUAAUACAUAAGUAACCUGGCAUCUACAGGGGGAUAACUGAUGGAAACGUCAGCUAAGACCGCAUAGGUGUAGAGAUCGCAUGAACUCUAUAUGAAAAGUGCUACGGGACUGGUAGAUGAUGGACUUAUGGCGCAUUAGCUUGUUGGUAGGGUAACGGCCUACCACGGCGACGAUGCGUAGCCGACCUGAGAGGGUGACCGGCCACACGGGGACUGAGACACGGCCCAGACUCCUACGGGAGGCAGCAGUAGGGAAUUUUCGGCAAUGGGGGAAACCCUGACCGAGCAACGCCGCGUGAAGGAAGAAGUAAUUCGUUAUGUAAACUUCUGUCAUAGAGGAAGAACGGUGGAUAUAGGGAAUGAUAUCCAAGUGACGGUACUCUAUAAGAAAGCCACGGCUAACUACGUG